CCUACGGGUGGCAGCAGUGAGGAAUAUUGGUCAAUGGCCGGAAGGCUGAACCAGCCAAGCCGCGUGAGGGAGGAAGGCGCAGAGCGUCGCAGACCUCUUUUGCCGGGGGACAAAAGGCCGGACUCGUCCGGUCCUGAGGGUACCCGGAGAAAAAGCAUCGGCUAACUCCGUGCCAGCAGCCGCGGUAAUACGGAGGAUGCGAGCGUUAUCCGGAUUUAUUGGGUUUAAAGGGUGCGCAGGCGGAAUGUCAAGUCAGCGGUAAAAUUUCGGGGCUCAACCCCGUCGUGCCGUUGAAAAUGGCGUUCUUGAGUGAGCGAGAAGUAUGCGGAAUGCGUGGUGUAGCGGUGAAAUGCAUAGAUAUCACGCAGAACUCCGAUUGCGAAGGCAGCAUACCGGCGCUCAACUGACGCUCAUGCACGAAAGCGUGGGUAUCGAACAGGAUUAGAUACCCGUGUAGUC
RNAcentral lists this ribosomal RNA (459 nucleotides) under uncultured bacterium. RNAcentral describes it as "partial 16S ribosomal RNA". It matches the Rfam family "Bacterial small subunit ribosomal RNA", at positions 338 to 795 of the family's 1533-position model. The record is from RNAcentral.